Molecule: ribosomal RNA, 497 nt
Filed under: uncultured bacterium
Lineage: Bacteria
Description: partial 16S ribosomal RNA
Rfam family: Bacterial small subunit ribosomal RNA
Source: RNAcentral
GAUGAACGCUGGCGGCGUGCCUAAUACAUGCAAGUCGAGCGAACAGACGAGGAGCUUGCUCCUCUGACGUUAGCGGCGGACGGGUGAGUACCACGUGGAUAACCUACCUAUAAGACUGGGAUAACUUCGGGAAACCGGAGCUAAUACCGGAUAAUAUAUUGAACCGCAUGGUUCAAUAGUGAAAGACGGUUUUGCUGUCACUUAUAGAUGGUUCCGCGCCGCAUUAGCUAGUUGGUAAGGUAACGGCUUACCAAGGCAACGAUGCGUAGCCGACCUGAGAGAGUGAUCGGCCACACUGGAACUGAGACACGGUCCAGACUCCUACGGGAGGCAGCAGUAGGGAAUCUUCCGCAAUGGGCGAAAGCCUGACGGAGCAACGCCGCGUGAGUGAUGAAGGUCUUCGGAUCGUAAAACUCUGUUAUUAGGGAAGAACAAAUGUGUAAGUAACUAUGCACGUCUUGACGGUACCUGAUCAGAAAGCCACGGCUAACUACGUG